Molecule: ribosomal RNA, 342 nt
Filed under: Triticum aestivum (bread wheat)
Lineage: Eukaryota; Viridiplantae; Streptophyta; Magnoliopsida; Poales; Poaceae
Description: partial small subunit ribosomal RNA
Source: RNAcentral
AUGGAUCUUUUGUGUUGUCGUAGAUUUCGCCAAUCCAUCAGCGUUCAUCCAGUUCUUGGCGGGCUGGAAGUGGAAGGCGGUCUUGUACAUGGUGCUGACAGCAGGAGACGGGUCCUGGUCCUUGGGAGCCUGCGCGCAGAGGAACAAGGAUCUGCCCCCAUCGCCGCCGCAGAGGGGGUUGGAUAUAUAGCUGGGGAAGAAGAGGCUGGUUACGUAGGAGCCGAGGACGAGGACCGGGAGGAGGAAGGCCCAAGCUUGGGCCAUGGCGGCAGAUGUGGGGGGAGAGAGGAGAGGAGAGGGAGUGAGGUAGGAGGCGAUAAGAAGGGAGAGGGGGUGAUGUGA